GUCCAGACUCCUACGGGAGGCAGCAGUGGGGAAUAUUGCACAAUGGGGGAAACCCUGAUGCAGCGACGCCGCGUGAGUGAGGAAGUAUUUCGGUAUGUAAAGCUCUAUCAGCAGGGAAGAAAAUGACGGUACCUGACUAAGAAGCCCCGGCUAACUACGUGCCAGCAGCCGCGGUAAUACGUAGGGGGCAAGCGUUAUCCGGAUUUACUGGGUGUAAAGGGAGCGUAGACGGCUAGUCAAGUCAGAAGUGAAAGCCCAGGGCUCAACCUUGGGACUGCUUUUGAAACUGAGUAGCUAGAGUGCAGGAGAGGUAAGCGGAAUUCCUAGUGUAGCGGUGAAAUGCGUAGAUAUCAGGAGGAACACCGGCGGCGAAGGCGGCCUGCUGGACCGUGACUGACGUUGAGGCUCGAGAGCGUGGGGAGCAAACAGGAUUAGAUACCCUAGUACAC
This 449-nucleotide ribosomal RNA is filed under the name uncultured bacterium. Its description in RNAcentral is "bacterial SSU rRNA". It matches the Rfam family "Bacterial small subunit ribosomal RNA", at positions 329 to 795 of the family's 1533-position model. The record is from RNAcentral.